CACGAAUGAACGCGCCGCGCGGGACGGGUAGAGCCGAGCAGGGCCGAGUGGAGCUGACGAAACAGGUGGUGCUGAGUUAAUUUUUCAGCUGUGAAAGCAAGGAGUAUUAUGACAAUUCCUGGUGUGUUUCAGUACCCUCAUCUACUCAAAGAGCAAGUCACACAGUUUCAUUCAGAAGCCAGCAAUGAGAGGAAUUCACAGCAGUGGAGAAUGUGUCCUGUGCUUUCCCACACUCCCAGGAGAUGGAUAAUGAAUUCUCAACAUGCUGUGGAGCUGGAUCGCUACUCAAAGAUGCAGCAACCUUUGUCGAAGGGCUCUUCCUUGCCCUUUGUGGCUCUCCAGCAUGGCAAAGGAUAUAAAGGAUUUAUUGGGUAGGCUUAUAGUGGCUGCCUGUGGAACCAGAGGUGGAAGAAGACAACAUGGCCAUCUGUGUGCUGGAGAGUUAGAGAAUCCAGGCAAAGGCUGAAGUCCUGCUGAUCCCUGCAGAGUGUGGGAUAAGUAUGUGCUGGAAGGCUGAGAGUCAGUGCUGGCAGUCUAAAACAACUGGAG
This is a long non-coding RNA of Chinchilla lanigera (long-tailed chinchilla), 549 nucleotides long. RefSeq lists it as uncharacterized. The record is from RefSeq and is a predicted model, not a curated record. The transcript has 4 exons. Lineage: Eukaryota; Metazoa; Chordata; Mammalia; Rodentia; Chinchillidae.